RNAcentral lists this ribosomal RNA (873 nucleotides) under bacterium enrichment culture clone HY327. Its description in RNAcentral is "bacterial SSU rRNA". It matches the Rfam family "Bacterial small subunit ribosomal RNA", at positions 9 to 882 of the family's 1533-position model. The record is from RNAcentral.
GAGUUUGAUCCUGGCUCAGGAUGAACGCUAGCGGGAGGCUUAACACAUGCAAGUCGAGCGGCAGCACGGUCUUCGGACUGGUGGCGAGCGGCGCACGGGUGCGUAACGCGUAUGCAACCUGCCUUAUACAGGGGAAUAGCCCAUGGAAACGUGGAUUAAUACCCCAUAACAUUGUGAGUUCGCAUGGAUUUACAAUUAAAACUACGGUGGUAUAAGAUGGGCAUGCGUCUGAUUAGCUUGUUGGUGAGGUAACGGCUCACCAAGGCCACGAUCAGUAGGGGUUCUGAGAGGAUUAUCCCCCACACUGGUACUGAGACACGGACCAGACUCCUACGGGAGGCAGCAGUGAGGAAUAUUGGUCAAUGGGCGCGAGCCUGAACCAGCCAUCCCGCGUGCAGGAUGACGGCCCUAUGGGUUGUAAACUGCUUUUCUACGCCAAGAAACGUUCCGACGUGUCGGAAACUGACGGUAGCGUAGGAAUAAGCAUCGGCUAACUCCGUGCCAGCAGCCGCGGUAAUACGGAGGAUGCAAGCGUUAUCCGGAUUCAUUGGGUUUAAAGGGUGCGCAGGCGGGCUUGUAAGUCAGUGGUGAAAUAUUGUCGCUUAACGAUAAGGUUGCCAUUGAUACUGCAGGUCUUGAGUAUGGUUGAGGUAGGCGGAAUGUGCAGUGUAGCGGUGAAAUGCAUAGAGAUUGCACAGAACACCGAUUGCGAAGGCAGCUUACUAAGCCGUAACUGACGCUGAGGCACGAAAGCGUGGGGAGCGAACAGGAUUAGAUACCCUGGUAGUCCACGCCGUAAACGAUGUUCACUCGCUGUUUGCGAUAUACAGCAAGCGGCUUAGCGAAAGCAUUAAGUGAACCACCUGGGGAGUA